UACAGAGGUCUCAAGCGUUGUUCGGAUUCAUUGGGCGUAAAGGGUGCGUAGGCGGCGCGGUAAGUCGGGUGUGAAAUCUCGGGGCUUAACUCCGAAACUGCAUUCGAUACUGCCGUGCUUGAGGACUGGAGAGGAGACUGGAAUUUACGGUGUAGCGGUGAAAUUCGUAGAUAUUCGGAAGAACACCAGUGGCGAAGGCGACUCACUGGCCCGUUACUGACGCUGAGGCGCGAAAGCGUGGGGAGCAAACAGG
This 253-nucleotide ribosomal RNA is filed under the name uncultured bacterium. Its description in RNAcentral is "partial 16S ribosomal RNA". It matches the Rfam family "Bacterial small subunit ribosomal RNA", at positions 524 to 776 of the family's 1533-position model. The record is from RNAcentral.